RNA transcript from Notolabrus celidotus (New Zealand spotty), 3781 nucleotides. It is a transcript of the gene named caldesmon 1a, with no coding region annotated. The transcript is spliced from 17 exons. Lineage: Eukaryota; Metazoa; Chordata; Actinopteri; Labriformes; Labridae. The record is from RefSeq and is a predicted model, not a curated record.
AGAGUAGAUAUGCGAUUAUGUCUUAAAAGGGAGGGGCUUGAAGCGGGUAUUCACUUUGGUUUUUAUCAUUGAGUGUAGUGAAGGACUGACUGCAGACUGGCUCCCUCUCCUCUCUCAUACUCGACCCAAGAGCUCUACUUUGUCCCGUAAAGAUCCGCAGGGCACAAUCAUGGAGGAAAUUGACUUUGAGCGGCGCCGGGAGAUGAGGAGGCAGAAGCGGGAGGAGAUGCGUCUUGAGUCCGAAAGGUUGUCAAGGAAUGAUGAUGACGAUGAGGAGGCGGCCCGCGAAAGGAGGCGCAGGGCACGCCAGGAGAGGCUGAUGAGCAGGGAAAGUGAGGAACACUGUGGACAGCCAGAUAGUCUGGUCAUGACCAACAGCCACAGUGUGACAGAAACUGUGAGCAGCUCUUACGGAGGAGGCAGCGGUGGCGGAGAUGACGAGGACCAGGCCCUGCAGGAGCGCAUGGCCAAACGUGAGGAGAGACGGCAGAGACGCAUGAUGGAGGCGAUGGAGAGGCAGAAGCAGCUGGACGCAGAGAGCAACAACAGCGUCUCCAUGGAGAAGAACGACGCAGAGGAGGAGAGGCCUUCUUCCUGGCGCCGGGGUCGCUACCGUGACCAUGAGGAUGAGGAGGAGGAGGAGAAGACGGAGAGGUACAGCUCGAGGAGAGAGAAAGAGAGAGAGGAGCCGAGGAUGGAAGACGAGGCUGCUCCUGAAGUUGAGGAGCAAGUAGACGAGGGGGUAGAGGAAGAGGAGGAGCAGCAAGAGGAGGUGGAGGAGGAGAAACCAAGGUCUUACAUGAGAGAUAAGGAACCAACUGAAGGACCUAAAAAUGAAACCAAGGACCUCGCUGAAGAUGAAACACAGUCAGUAGUCAGUGAGAUCUCAAACCAGGCCAAGUGCACUAACUCAGAGGCCGAGGAGGAUGCAGAAGCAUCAGAGGAGGCUGGAGAGGUACCUGAGGAUGAUUAUGUAGAUUACUCUUCAGAGAACAAAUCUGUGGCACUCAGAAAUGAGAGUGAAGAGGACAAUGAGGUAUCAGAGAUACUGCACUCAGAGGAUAAUGAGGUCGAGGAGAGAGGCAGGGCCAGGGACGAGCAGAGGAAGCAGAACGGAGGGCUGCACGAGGAGGCAACUCCCAAUCAGCACAGGAAACCUGAGAGGACCUUCAGCCGCGGAAGUGUACGCUCCCCUGAGGUGUCUACAAGUGAUGACCAGGACGACGCUGCUCGCCUGGAGGCAGAGCUCAAGCUGGAGGAGCUGAAACGCCGCCGUGAUGACGCAGAGAGCGAGGAGUUUGAAAGGAUGAGGCAGAAGCAGCAGGAGGCUGAGGUUGAGCUGGAGGAGCUGAAGAGGAAGAGGGAGGAGAGGAAGAAGGUGCUGGACGAAGAGGAGAGACAGAGGAAGCAAGAGGAGGAAGAGAGAAAAGCCAGAGAGGAGGAGGAGAAGAGAAAGAUGAAGGAGGAGAUUGAAAGGAGGAGAGCAGAGGCAGCUGAGAAGAGACAGAAGGUGGAAGACACCAUGGACGGAGAGGGCGGACCCUUUAAGUGUGUCAGCCCUCGAGGCUCUUCUCUGAAGAUCGGAGAGAGGGCAGAGUUCCUGAACAAGUCAGCACAGAAAAGCACGAUGAAGGCAGCUCAUUCCCCUGUGGUGUCCAAGAUAGACAACAGGCUGGAGCAGUACACCUCGGCUGCUCAGAGAGAGAACAAGGAGUCCAGAUCCCCUCGCUCUGGAGCGGUGGAUAUGCCACUGGGCACUGACAGCAUACGAAACAUCAAGAGCAUGUGGGAGAAAGGAAACGUGUUCAGCUCACCUGGCGGUGGCGGGGGCACAUUCAAGGAAGCAGCUGUGAUGAAGACAGGCGUGGCAGGCCGCAUCAAUGACUGGCUGAAUAAAACCCCGGAGAGCGGCAAAACGUCAGGAGGAAGGCCAGCGGACCUGAAGCCUGUUGAUGUCACCAAUAAGAGGAGUCUAUGGGAAAACAAAGGAGCCUCCCCAACCAAGAACUCUGAUAGCUAGUUGACCUCACCUUUGUAUCUGGAAUAAGCCUGGAGAGGUGGCAGGCAGAGGAGAGACCAAAUCAGUUGCUAACGGAAUGGGACAUUAAUGUCUUAAAGGAGCCAUUAAAGCUGGGGACCACGACAAUCCGAGACUCUUCCUUUUGACUUUGUCUGAAGAACCAAAUAAGGACCACAUUCCCAAGAAGGACCCCACGAAAACAGAGGGACAGCAGAGACGCUGUCGAAGCACUGUACCCAAACAGCAUCAUCAUAUUUCUGUACGGUUGCCACACAUAGUGCCUUUGCACAAUUAUUCUUUUGCUUUCUAAAAGAAAAAAAAAUGCUGUGAAAUUUGGACUUUUGUAAUAACUUUAACUAAUUACUUUUUUUUUUUUUAACAAUCCUUCCAGAAAGAGAAAAACUAAUUAAAUUUUAGAUGAUCUGAUGAACUCCAUGCCAGCAGUUUUGUUAGACAGAGUAGAUGAGUUUCCACAUUCCAAAGAGAUGGGUGAAAUCGGUUCUCUCCCUCAAACAGUUCAUUUUCCAUCUCUAUUUUUUAUUUAUAUUUAAAGCAAAAGCUUCACACAUUCCUAUUUUAUUCAACGUUCACCAGUUCAGGAUAGAAAUAUAAGCACUUCUAGAAUUUAGCUGAUUUCACUUUUAUUAUGUCUUACCAAUAGUGCAGCAAUGGUCUGAGUAAUAUAUGUUAGCACAUGUGAUGUUUUUGAAUAUCAUACUGUAUCUUAUAUAACAUCUUUAUACUCAUAACAAAAGGUAUUUUUGCUUUGUUUUUAUAUCUACAAACUAUUCACCAACAGGCAGUUGAUUUUGGAGGUGAUAGGAGUGUUGAAGAAGGCCAUUAUGACUUUUAUUAUCCUCUACAUCAUUUUAUUUAUGUUUUAAUGUGUCCUUUUAUACUUCUGUCUGUUUUUGUAGCUUUUGUACCCGUUUGAUCACUUUAAAAUCUUCAAACAUUCCUCUGUAUUAGCAGGUGUACAAGGUGCCUUUACUGCUUCAAAGCCUUAGGUUUUAUAAUGUAGGAAAUCUGCAAACCAACCCUCUUAUUUUACUUCUCUAUCGCCUCUAUGCACACUCUCAUGCUCCGCAAUGUUUUUCUAAUUGAUGGCAUACAACGUCAAUUCAGGGUGCCUAAACAUAUAGUGAGAUAAUAGUGCAGUACAAGGAUAUUUACCACUAUGUAACUCUUCCAGCCUUAUGAUUGCAAUUUUUCGACAGCUGAGGUACAGAACAUGGCGGCCUCAAAGCAACCCAGUUUGAUAUUUAGACUUGUGACUUUCAUGUUUCUUCUUCACUGACACGGCCUUAAGUAGCACAUUCCCUUUCCUAGUUUUUGCACAACGCAAGCUUUGAUUAUAUUGAGCGUUUGCCAGGGCAUUAAAUUAAAUUGAUCAAUAUUUCUGCUCAAAAGUCUGACAAUCACAUUCCAUGGCUCCUGAAAAGAGCAGAGGGGCUUGACCAAAACAUUUUGAAGUGUGAUUUAAUGUGACAUUUAUGUUUUUUCUUUUUUUAAAUACAGUGGUUUCAUAAUGCUGUUUUGUUCUUUUUUUACAACCUUGUGUCCAUUUUAUGUUUCUUUUAUUCAAUGUUUAACCAGACACUUGUUGUUUGUGUAGCGCUAAGCCUAUGCAAAGCACACUAUCUGUAGUCUCUCUCUAAGCACUCCCAAUGUCACACAAGUGGGCUGUUUUUCAACUGGACAAAUGUUUUAAACAUUGUACCCAUGACUCAACAUCAGCAAUAAAGACAUUGAGGUAUUCAA